CCUACGGGAGGCAGCAGUGGGGAAUCUUGCGCAAUGGGCGGAAGCCUGACGCAGCAACGCCGCGUGAGGGAUGACGGCCUUCGGGUUGUAAACCUCUUUCGCGAUCGACGAAGGUUCAUCUUCUGGGUGGGCUGACGGUAGGUCGAGAAGAAGCACCGGCCAACUACGUGCCAGCAGCCGCGGUAAUACGUAGGGUGCGAGCGUUGUCCGGAAUUAUUGGGCGUAAAGGGCUCGUAGGCGGUUUGUCGCGUCGGGAGUGAAAUCACUGGGCUCAACCGAGUGUGUGCUUUCGAUACGGGCAGACUGGAGGCAUUCAGGGGAGAACGGAAUUCCUGGUGUAGCGGUGAAAUGCGCAGAUAUCAGGAGGAACACCGGUGGCGAAGGCGGUUCUCUGGGAAUGUCCUGACGCUGAGGAGCGAAAGUGUGGGGAGCGAACAGGAUUAGAUACCCUGGUAGUCCACACCGUAAACGUUGGGCGCUAGGUGUGGGAUCCUCUUCAUGGGUUCCGUGCCGCAGCUAACGCAUUAAGCGCCCCGCCUGGGGAGUACGGCCGCAAGGCUAAAACUCAAAUGAAUUGACGGGG
RNAcentral lists this ribosomal RNA (583 nucleotides) under uncultured bacterium. Its description in RNAcentral is "bacterial SSU rRNA". It matches the Rfam family "Bacterial small subunit ribosomal RNA", at positions 338 to 918 of the family's 1533-position model. The record is from RNAcentral.